Molecule: transfer RNA, 90 nt
Filed under: Ligilactobacillus agilis
Lineage: Bacteria; Bacillati; Bacillota; Bacilli; Lactobacillales; Lactobacillaceae
Description: tRNA-Ser
Rfam family: tRNA
About the family: Transfer RNA (tRNA) molecules are approximately 80 nucleotides in length. Their secondary structure includes four short double-helical elements and three loops (D, anti-codon, and T loops).
Source: RNAcentral
GGAGGAUUACCCAAGUCUGGCUGAAGGGAACGGUCUUGAAAACCGUUAGGUGGGUCAAACCACGCAAGAGUUCGAAUCUCUUAUCCUCCU